RNAcentral lists this ribosomal RNA (568 nucleotides) under uncultured bacterium. Its description in RNAcentral is "partial 16S ribosomal RNA". It matches the Rfam family "Bacterial small subunit ribosomal RNA", at positions 355 to 914 of the family's 1533-position model. The record is from RNAcentral.
UGGGGAAUUUUGGACAAUGGGCGCAAGCCUGAUCCAGCCAUGCCGCGUGCGGGAAGAAGGCCUUCGGGUUGUAAACCGCUUUUGUCAGGGAAGAAAUCUUCUGAGUUAAUACCUUGGGAGGAUGACGGUACCUGAAGAAUAAGCACCGGCUAACUACGUGCCAGCAGCCGCGGUAAUACGUAGGGUGCAAGCGUUAAUCGGAAUUACUGGGCGCAAAGCGUGCGCAGGCGGUUUUGUAAGACAGAGGUGAAAUCCCCGGGCUCAACCUGGGAACUGCCUUUGUGACUGCAAGGCUUGAGUGCGGCAGAGGGGGAUGGAAUUCCGCGUGUAGCAGUGAAAUGCGUAGAUAUGCGGAGGAACACCGAUGGCGAGGGCAAUCCCCUGGGCCUGCACUGACGCUCAUGCACGAAAGCGUGGGGAGCAAAACAGGAUUAGAUAGCCUGGUAGUCCACGCCCUAAACGAUGUCAACUGGUUGUUGGGAAAGGUUCCUUCUCAGUAACGUAGCUAACGCGUGAAGUUGACCGCCUGGGGAGUACGGCCGCAAGGUUGAAACUCAAAUGAAUUGAC